CAGUCGCCACGGUAAUACGUAGGUCCCGAGCGUUGUCCGGAUUUAUUGGGCGUAAAGCGAGCGCAGGCGGUUUGAUAAGUCUGAAGUUAAAGGCUGUGGCUCAACCACAGUUCGCUUUGGAAACUGUCAAACUUGAGUGCAGAAGGGGAGAGUGGAAUUCCAUGUGUAGCGGUGAAAUGCGUAGAUAUAUGGAGGAACACCGGUGGCGAAAGCGGCUCUCUGGUCUGUAACUGACGCUGAGGCUCGAAAGCGUGGGGAGCGAACAGGAUUAGAUACCCCCGUAGUCCCUGUCUCUUAUACA
RNAcentral lists this ribosomal RNA (301 nucleotides) under uncultured bacterium. RNAcentral's name for it is "partial 16S ribosomal RNA". It matches the Rfam family "Bacterial small subunit ribosomal RNA", at positions 509 to 808 of the family's 1533-position model. The record is from RNAcentral.